AUACGGAGGGGGCUAGCGUUGCUCGGGAUCACUGGGCGUAAAGGGCGUGUAGGCGGGACAGCAAGUCGGGUGUGAAAGCCCUGGGCUCAACCCAGGAAGGGCAUUCGAUACUACUGUUCUUGAGUAUGACAGAGGAAAGCGGAAUUCCCGGUGUAGCGGUGAAAUGCGUAGAUAUCGGGAAGAACACCUGUGGCGAAGGCGGCUUUCUGGGUCACAACUGACGCUGAGGCGCGAAAGCUAGGGGAGCGAACGGGAUUAGAAACCCCGGUAGUCC
Molecule: ribosomal RNA, 274 nt
Filed under: uncultured bacterium
Lineage: Bacteria
Description: partial 16S ribosomal RNA
Rfam family: Bacterial small subunit ribosomal RNA
Source: RNAcentral